UACAGAGGGGGCAAGCGUUAUUCGGAAUUAUUGGGCGUAAAGGGCGCGUAGGCGGCUUGGCAAGUGGAAGGUGAAAUCCCUCGGCUUAACCGGGGAACUGCGUCUGAUACUGGAUGGCUAGAGAUUGGGAGAGGGAUGCGGAAUUCCAGGUGUAGCAGUGAAAUGCGUAGAUAUCGAGAGGAACACCAGUGGCGAAGGCGAGUCCCUGGACAACUUCUGACGCUGAGGCACGAAAGCUAGGGGAGCAAACAGG
This 253-nucleotide ribosomal RNA is filed under the name uncultured bacterium. Its description in RNAcentral is "partial 16S ribosomal RNA". It matches the Rfam family "Bacterial small subunit ribosomal RNA", at positions 524 to 776 of the family's 1533-position model. The record is from RNAcentral.